AGUAGGUUCUACUCUGUCAAUGCAGAGCCUGAUCCUGGGCUCAAACUCACAACCAUGAGAUCAUGACCUGAGCCAAAACCAACAGUCAGAUGCUUAACUGACUAAGCCACCCAGGUGCUCCUCCCCUUUGUCCUUUUGAUGUCAUCCAUCUACUUCAAUUUCCCCCAUGGACAUUUCCCUUUGGCAUUAUCAAGCAAUGUCUCUUUAUAGCUUUUUCUGUCUCUGUUUUCUCCUCAAAGUACUAAUUUGUUUUCCUCAAUCUCUUCACCAAAACACUUUAGUACUCAGAAAUAAUUACUAUUUUUAUGACUCUAACAGACUCUUGAUAGUCCUUUCUGUAACAAGUGACACAGACUUACCUCCUCACUGAAACUGUCUUCUGAGACCGAUUUCCUCAGGAGGCUGUUGUGAAUCUUCUAGGAUUCCAGUUCUUUCUGUUCAGUAUUCUCCUCUGUCAUCCCAAUGUCGGUAGGCCUAUGGUUUACCCCCUCCCCGUAGUUAUCAUUUGUGAAUGGACAAUUUCCAAACCUCGAUCUUUUGCUACAACUUUGUCCUGAACUUCGGAAUGGCAUUUGUAAUGGCAUAGUAUACGUUUCUGACUGCAUAUCUUUUAGAUAUCUCCAACUUAGCAAGCACUGCAGGCUUAAAUACCACCACACCACAACAGGGAGAUAUUACUAAACUACAUUUUGCAAGGAAAGUAGUAAUAAUGAUGGUGACUGAUUUUGAAAGAAAAUAAGCAAAUGUGAAAUCUACAUGCUAAGCUAUUUCAGCAAGGCAGAAUUUUUUUAUAUAGGAUGGAUACUGAUUAUUAUAACCAGUGUCUUCAGGGAUAGGCAAUUCUUCCAGAUUAUCUGUCUCACUGAAAAUGCCAUUCAAGAAUAUCACCUCUGUGUUUUUAUUUUAAGCUCUGUAGGCAACUUUUUGAUCUAUAAUUAAAUUGAACAACAGGCAUAUGUCUUAUUGUGACUGGGAUGUAACCAUGGUAUAUUCAUAAACUGGUGUUCUGGUUGGUAAAUGAUUCUCUUGUCAGUUUUCUUGGUGUGAGUCAGUGCUCCAGAGUUGGUGAACUCUAGGUGAACUGUUGAGAUCAAGUUUCUGUAUCUGCCAAACGGAAGAUCAGACUUUGGACUGUGGCAACUGAAAAUAGACUGAAUCUGAGAGGUGAAGCCCAGCUAAAAAGAGAGCUCAUCAUCACCCACUAACGGGUCAAAAUCUACGGUUUGAAGAGUCCUGCAAUGUGGAAGGAAUGUGCAAGCAGGAGUGAGAAUCCUGAGUUCCUUGUUGCUCCACUUUUGAAUGGAAACCUGUACUCUCACCAUCAAAUCAAGGUGAUAGGAUUAAAUCAGAUCAUCUCCACGGCCUCUGUUUCAGUGGAUUGAGGAUUUCCCACCUUGAUACUGGUGAUUUUUCCUCAUCAGGAUUCUGUGACGGGGCACCUGUCUUAGCAGACGACCAGAAAACUCAACACAGGACCAUUGUGCACUUACCUUCUCUGCCAAGGAAAAAAAAAGGUAACGGUUU
This is a long non-coding RNA of Neofelis nebulosa (Clouded leopard), 1524 nucleotides long. RefSeq lists it as uncharacterized. The record is from RefSeq and is a predicted model, not a curated record. The transcript is spliced from 3 exons. NCBI's taxonomy places the organism in Eukaryota, Metazoa, Chordata, Mammalia, Carnivora, Felidae.